Molecule: long non-coding RNA, 403 nt
Filed under: Lepisosteus oculatus (spotted gar)
Lineage: Eukaryota; Metazoa; Chordata; Actinopteri; Semionotiformes; Lepisosteidae
Description: lncRNA (ENSLOCG00000022767.1)
Source: RNAcentral
GGCGAAGCCACAGCAUGCGCAGGGAGGAAAUGAGUCUCAUUAUCGUCCUUAGCAGGACGUCCGCCUGAGUCAGCCGGAGAGCCCCCUUCUCCAUGACUCAGACCCUGCUGAUCACCGACUUCGACAAGUCUGCUCUUCAGCUUUUGCAAAGCAGCUGCCAGCUUAAAGUUUGUGUCGAAUCGGUUCUUCAUGGGUGAUAAGCAGAAAGACAUCCAUGAAGAAGCCGAAACAUUCUGGACAAACUGUCAACGAGGAACGCUCUGGGAUAACGGAGACGUGGGAUCAGCACUGCUGAUACAGUAGCAGGCUGUAUUUUUUUGGCAUCUGCAGGCAAGAGCGCACUGGCACUUCAGGAGAGCUGGGUGAGGCACAAGCCAGCUGUGAUUAAAAACCUCCAGAAAUU